UAUUGGACAAUAGGCGAAAGCCUGAUCCAGCAAUGCCGCGUGAGUGAUGAAGGCCUUAGGGUUGUAAAGCUCUUUUACCCGGGAUGAUAAUGACAGUACCGGGAGAAUAAGCUCCGGCUAACUCCGCGCCAGCAGCCGCGGUAAUACGGAGGGAGCUAGCGUUGUUCGGAAUUACUGGGCGUAAAGCGCACGUAGGCGGCUUUGUAAGUUAGAGGUGAAAGCCUGGAGCUCAACUCCAGAAUUGCCUUUGAUACUGCAUCGCUUGAAUCCAGGAGAGGUGAGCGGAAUUCCGAGUGUAGAGGUGAAAUUCGUAGAUAUUCGGAAGAACACCAGUGGCGAAGGCGGCUCACUGGACUGGUAUUGACGCUGAGGUGCGAAG
RNAcentral lists this ribosomal RNA (379 nucleotides) under uncultured bacterium. Its description in RNAcentral is "bacterial SSU rRNA". It matches the Rfam family "Bacterial small subunit ribosomal RNA", at positions 362 to 758 of the family's 1533-position model. The record is from RNAcentral.